RNAcentral lists this ribosomal RNA (313 nucleotides) under uncultured bacterium. Its description in RNAcentral is "bacterial SSU rRNA". It matches the Rfam family "Bacterial small subunit ribosomal RNA", at positions 28 to 334 of the family's 1533-position model. The record is from RNAcentral.
GAUGAACGCUAGCGGCAGGCUUAACACAUGCAAGUCGAGGGGUAACAGGGAGUGCUUGCACUCUGCUGACGACCGGCGCACGGGUGCGCACCGCGUAUGGAAUCUGCCUCUUGCUGGGGAAUAGCCCAUGGAAACGUGGAUUAAUGCCCCAUAGUACUUAUUUACGGCAUUGUAGAGAAGUUAAAGGUUUCGGCCGGCAAGAGAUGACCAUGCGUCCCAUUAGCUAGAUGGUAAGGUAACGGCUUACCAUGGCGACGAUGGGUAGGGGCCCUGAGAGGGGGAUCCCCCACACUGGUACUGAGACACGGACCAG